Molecule: ribosomal RNA, 506 nt
Filed under: uncultured bacterium
Lineage: Bacteria
Description: bacterial SSU rRNA
Rfam family: Bacterial small subunit ribosomal RNA
Source: RNAcentral
GAUGAACGCUGGCGGCGUGCCUAAUACAUGCAAGUCGAACGAAGGUAGCAAUACCUUAGUGGCGAACGGGUGAGUAACACGUAGGUAACCUGCCUUUCAGUUGGGGAUAACCGAGGGAAACUUUGGCUAAUACCGAAUUCGUGCUUCGAAGGCAUCUUUGGAGCAUAAAAGGGGCCUUUAAAGCCUCGCUGAUUGAUGGACCUGCGGCGCAUUAGUUAGUUGGUGAGAUAACAGCCCACCAAGACGAGGAUGCGUAGCCGACCUGAGAGGGUGAUCGGCCACACUGGAACUGAGACACGGUCCAGACUCCUACGGGAGGCAGCAGUAGGGAGUUUUCGGCAAUGGGGGAAACCCUGACCGAGCAACGCCGCGUGAGUGAUGAAGGUCUUCGGAUUGUAAAGCUCUGUUAUAAGGGAAGAACGGCAGCUAGAGGAAAUGCUAGCUGUUUGACGGUACUUUAUGAGAAAGCCACGGCUAACUACGUGCCAGCAGCCGCGGUAAAACGU